GUGAAAGAGAAGAUCAUCCACAGACACCAAGAAGAUGAUUUUCCACAUGCGCAAAGCGGCUGUGCCCACAUCCCAUCCACAUGAGAGCUGGAGGAAGACAAGCCACGGCUUACACGGGCCAUUUUCCAGCUUAUGGAUUCCGGCAUCAUAUGUUGAAGAAUAUGGGAUAUUUUGAUUUCUAAGAACCUGCUCUGUUCAGCGCUGAGCUUCUGCUGGC
RNAcentral lists this long non-coding RNA (217 nucleotides) under Dasypus novemcinctus (nine-banded armadillo). Its description in RNAcentral is "lncRNA (ENSDNOG00000050803.1)". Lineage: Eukaryota; Metazoa; Chordata; Mammalia; Cingulata; Dasypodidae. The record is from RNAcentral.